UAGACAGGUUGUAUGUAUCUGAUCACUACUGUAGUAGGGUUGGAAGGUUAGACAGGUUGUAUGUAUCUGAUCACUACUGUAAUAGGGUUGGAAGGUUAGACAGGUUGUAUGUAUCUGAUCACUACUGUAGUAGGGUUGGAAGGUUAGACAGGUUGUAUGUAUCUGAUCUCUACUGUACUAGGGUUGGAAGGUUAGACAGGUUGUAUGUAUCUGAUCACUACUGUAGUAGGGUUGGAAGGUUAGACAGGUGGUAUGUAUCUGAUCUCUACUGUAGUAGGGUUGGAAGGUUAGACAGGUUGUAUGUAUCUGAUCUCUACUGUAGUAGGGUUGGAAGGUUAGACAGGUUGUAUGUAUCUGAUCUCUACUGUAGUAGGG
Molecule: long non-coding RNA, 375 nt
Filed under: Salmo salar (Atlantic salmon)
Lineage: Eukaryota; Metazoa; Chordata; Actinopteri; Salmoniformes; Salmonidae
Description: lncRNA (ENSSSAG00000092596.1)
Source: RNAcentral